This 211-nucleotide long non-coding RNA is filed under the name Vigna radiata. RNAcentral's name for it is "long non-coding RNA (VRAD_LNC012815)". The record is from RNAcentral. Lineage: Eukaryota; Viridiplantae; Streptophyta; Magnoliopsida; Fabales; Fabaceae.
AGCUGGGCGAGACAGUAAUUGGCUCAGCGAAAAUGAACAUUUCUAAGCUAUUCUACUCUAGCAUGCAAUUCCUAAGAGAUCAAAAACCUAAGGCUCAUGAUACCACAUGAUGGGGAAGUGCAUACUUAGAGAGAAUAUUCUAAAUGACAUUUAAGAGAAUGGAAAAGAAAUUAAAAUUGGAAAAGAUUAGAGAAGGGAAACUUAGGAAAUG